GAUGAACGCUGGCGGCGUGCCUAAUACAUGCAAGUCGAGCGAACGGACGAGGAGCUUGCUUCGCUGAUGUUAGCGGCGGACGGGUGAGUAACACGUGGAUACCCUACCUAUAAGACUGGGAUAACCUCGGGACACCGGAGCUAAUACCGGAUAAUCUUUUGCACCGCAUGGUUCAAAAGUGAAAGACGGUCUUGCUGUCACUUAUAGAUGGAUCCGCGCUGCAUUAGCUAGUUGGUAAGGUAACGGCUUACCAAGGCAACGAUGCAUAGCCGACCUGAGAGGGUGAGUGGCCACACUGGGACUGAGACACGGUCCAGACUCCUAGGGGAGGCAGCAGUAGGGAAUCUUCCGCAAGGGGCGAAAACCUGACGGAGCAGCGCCGCAGGAGGGAUGAAGGUCUUCGGAUCGUAAAACUCUGUUAUUAGGGAAGAACAUAUGUGUAAGUAACUGUGCGCAUCUUGACGGUACCUAAGCAGAGAGGCACGGCUAACUACGUG
Molecule: ribosomal RNA, 497 nt
Filed under: uncultured bacterium
Lineage: Bacteria
Description: partial 16S ribosomal RNA
Rfam family: Bacterial small subunit ribosomal RNA
Source: RNAcentral